RNAcentral lists this ribosomal RNA (465 nucleotides) under Vreelandella stevensii. RNAcentral describes it as "partial 16S ribosomal RNA". It matches the Rfam family "Bacterial small subunit ribosomal RNA", at positions 338 to 795 of the family's 1533-position model. Lineage: Bacteria; Pseudomonadati; Pseudomonadota; Gammaproteobacteria; Oceanospirillales; Halomonadaceae. The record is from RNAcentral.
CCUACGGGAGGCAGCAGUGGGGAAUAUUGGACAAUGGGGGCAACCCUGAUCCAGCCAUGCCGCGUGUGUGAAGAAGGCCCUCGGGUUGUAAAGCACUUUCAGUGAGGAAGAACGCCUGGUGGUUAAUACCCAUCAGGAAAGACAUCACUCACAGAAGAAGCACCGGCUAACUCCGUGCCAGCAGCCGCGGUAAUACGGAGGGUGCGAGCGUUAAUCGGAAUUACUGGGCGUAAAGCGCGCGUAGGUGGCUUGAUAAGCCGGUUGUGAAAGCCCCGGGCUCAACCUGGGAACGGCAUCCGGAACUGUCAAGCUAGAGUGCAGGAGAGGAAGGUAGAAUUCCCGGUGUAGCGGUGAAAUGCGUAGAGAUCGGGAGGAAUACCAGUGGCGAAGGCGGACUUCUGGACUGACACUGACACUGAGGUGCGAAAGCGUGGGUAGCAAACAGGAUUAGAUACCCGGGUAGUC